GGGUGGUACACCGUAGUGCGGAGCUGCUGGACCUUCAGGAGUUUGCAGAGGUCCGCCAUCAUCCGGGACAUGAACGGGGUGCCCUGGUCAGUCAGUAUCUGGGAUGGGAUGCCGACCCGACUACACAGCAGGAAGAGCUCCUGGGCGAUGGCUUUGGUAGUGGCCUUGCGGAGGGGAAUGGCCUCAGGGUAGCGGGUGGCAUAAUCCACGAUGACCAGGAUGUGUUCAUGCCCCCGGGCGGACUUCGGCAGCAGCCCCACUAAGUCCAUUCCGAUCCGCUCGAAGGGCACCUCAAUGAUGGGCAGCGGUAUCAGCGGGCUGGGGGGAGGGGUCCGUGGUGAGGUCUGCGGGCAGGUUGGGCAGGCUUGGCAGAACCGCCGGACUUCGACCUCUAGGCCCGGCCAGUGGAACCGGUCACGGAGGCGCUGGACGGUGUUCUGUACUCCUAGGUGUCCUGCCAUGGGAUGUGCGUGGGCUAUCUCCAUCACCGUUCCGGUCUUGCUGCGCGGAACAACCAGGAGCGUCUUUUCCUCCCCCCUCCGCUGUGCGACACAGUACAGCAGGCCAUUUUUCACUAUAAAGUGAGGGGUGGGGUGAGGUGCCGGUUGGAUUUCUUUUCUGUCCACCACUCUCACUUGACCCCAGCAGUGUUUUAACCGGUCGUCCGCGUGCUGCUCUUUGGAGAACCCUCCAGCCCCCGUCACCUGUUGGUACAGGUCAUAAUAAAGGUUAGGAGUUGGAAGGGGUGACUCACCAUCUCUGGGGCUGUCUGAGGCCGGCAGCACGGGACGCCGUCGGGUCCUCUUGCUGGGCUUCCGGGAUGGGCGGUUCCUGGCCGGGCCGGCAGGCUGAGUGACGGAGGCGAGCAACUGGAGGACCGGUACCGGCAGAUCCUUGACCAGUCCGACAUCUAUGGGCCAGGCGCCGGGCGGCGCAGCGAUGGUAACCCAUCGUGCCGGCACGUCCCUGGUGUCGCCGUGCACACAGGUGAUGGAGAGCUUCGUUUUGGCUUCAGGCCGCGGGGGCAACACCGCCGUCUUCUCCCUGUGCACGGCGCAGCCUGCCAGCCAAGGUCGUGGCGGAGAACGGGGUGCCUCGGUGGGCAUGGGCUCAUCUCGAGGGCCGGGAACCGCCGGCCUGCUCACCGGUCGCUGGGUGCCCUCCGGCGUGCGCCGCUCCUGGACCACCCUUCGGGGAAACGGCGGCGCUCUCUCCCCAACCUCCCGGUGUUGGUUGUUCGCUAGGUUCCGCAUGCCGGCUGCCUGACGUAGCGGGCAAGGAAGGGCCCGCAGGAGGCGAUCCACGACGACAUGCUCCGCUACCUGGUGUGCGUUGGGACCCCCGGCCAGUAACCAGUGCUGCGCGAGACGGGAGAGAUUGGCCGCCUGAGCUCGGGCCGGCUGUCGUGGGUCGAAAACCCAUUCAUUAAAGAGCUGAGCGGCGCUGAUCGGUGAGAGUCCCAUCCGGCCCAGGAUUUCCUUUUUCAACUCCUCGUAAGACUCGUUGAGCUCUGGGGGAAGCGUGAAAUAAGCCCGCUGGGCCUCUCCC
This is a long non-coding RNA of Cyprinus carpio carpio, 1548 nucleotides long. Lineage: Eukaryota; Metazoa; Chordata; Actinopteri; Cypriniformes; Cyprinidae. The record is from Ensembl.